Long non-coding RNA from Apis dorsata (giant honeybee), 426 nucleotides. RefSeq lists it as uncharacterized. The record is from RefSeq and is a predicted model, not a curated record. The transcript has 2 exons. Lineage: Eukaryota; Metazoa; Arthropoda; Insecta; Hymenoptera; Apidae.
UUUUGAAACUAACGAAUCAGCACACCUUGUUCAUCAUUCGUCAUAGUUCAGCAGUUCCGUUUACGCACGUGCAGUAAUGCACGCAUCUUAUGUUUACAUAGCUUUUUAAGCAUAUUUCAAAUAUAAAUAUAACCUAAUAUUAUAUAUAAUGAUUAUCAUAGUAAAUAUGUUUAAUUUAUUUCCAAAUUUAUUAAAAAAUUAAUUUUAUUAAACAUAAUUAAGCAUAAUAUAAAAUUAAAAGUAAAAUAAAAAAAAAACUUACAGCCUACAACAAUUAAAAUGAAUAGUAGCAGAAUAUGAACUGGAUAUAAGAAAAGGAUUAACUAUAAAAGGAUGAUAAUCAAGAUUAAAGAUCAAGAUUCCUGACAAUAAAAAAUCAAAAUCUCUUAAAUUUAUAAUAAUAAACUAACAUCAGAAUGAAUUGUU